RNAcentral lists this long non-coding RNA (259 nucleotides) under Lathyrus oleraceus (garden pea). RNAcentral describes it as "Pisum sativum (pea) long non-coding RNA (PSAT_LNC021236)". The record is from RNAcentral. Lineage: Eukaryota; Viridiplantae; Streptophyta; Magnoliopsida; Fabales; Fabaceae.
AACCCCAACCCAAUAACAACAUAUAUAGAUAUUUAGUAGAUAGAGUAUGCAAAAAUACAAGGCAAUAAAAUAAAUGAUGAAUAAUAUAAAGCGAGUAAAGAAUAAAGAUAAACACCUAAAACAAGCUAAAAAAACAAAGCUAGACUCGACUCCUUUUAGCGACUAGGAAAUACUCUAAGUAGUAGAGUUUCCCCAACAGAGUCUCUAGCUGAAGCUAGCGGAAAUAUACCUAAACGUAUCGCACGCUCGAACAUACAAC